RNAcentral lists this transfer RNA (76 nucleotides) under Phytophthora infestans T30-4. It matches the Rfam family "tRNA". Rfam says of the family: Transfer RNA (tRNA) molecules are approximately 80 nucleotides in length. Lineage: Eukaryota; Oomycota; Peronosporomycetes; Peronosporales; Peronosporaceae. The record is from Rfam by way of RNAcentral.
GAAGGUAGGCAUAGUCUGGCCUAAUGCAUCUGUUUUGGGAACAGAACGAUCAAAGGUUCAAAUCCUUUUUUCUUCC